Molecule: non-coding RNA, 622 nt
Organism: Scophthalmus maximus (turbot)
Lineage: Eukaryota; Metazoa; Chordata; Actinopteri; Pleuronectiformes; Scophthalmidae
Source: the annotation of a RefSeq genome assembly
AAUCAUUCCUUGAUUUGAUUCUAUGCAAACUCAGUGACCUUCCUUGUCUCUCAGCUAUAAAAACCUCACAUCAGACCGACGGUGGAGUUCACAGCAGGUCAGAUUCAGCACAAACCAUGUUUCCUGUAGCUCUGCUGCUGUUGGCAGCUGGAUCAUGUGUGAAGGGUGAACAGUUGACACAGCCGACCUCUGUGACUGUGCAGCCAGGUCAACGUCUGACCAUCACCUGUCAGGUCUCUUAUUCUCUUGGUGACUACUACACAGCUUGGAUCAGACAGCCUGCAGGAAAAGGACUGGAGUGGAUUGGAAUGAGAUCUACUGGAUAUACAUUCUACAAAGAUUCAUUAAAGAACAAGUUCAGUAUCGACUUAGACACUUCCAGCAAAACUGUGACUCUAAAUGGACAGAAUGUGCAGCCUGAAGACACUGCUGUGUAUUACUGUGCCAGAGACACAAUAACACAAACCACCAGUAGACCUGAACAAAAACCCCUCAGAGCCUGAACACUUGUGACAUGAAGCCACCAGAGGAGGAGCCCUCAGACCAGUUCACUGUCACUGGAGAGAGGAAUCAGUCGACAGUUUAAACACUCAUCUUUCUUCUGAGUGUAGGCAUACUUAUC